This 406-nucleotide ribosomal RNA is filed under the name uncultured bacterium. RNAcentral's name for it is "partial 16S ribosomal RNA". It matches the Rfam family "Bacterial small subunit ribosomal RNA", at positions 30 to 526 of the family's 1533-position model. The record is from RNAcentral.
AUUGAACGCUGGCGGCAGGCCUAACACAUGCAAGUCGAACGAGUGGCGGACAGGUGAGUAAUGUCUGGGAAACUGCCUGAUGGAGGGGGAUAACUACUUGAAACGGUAGCUAAUACCGCAUCCCAUCAGAUGUGCCCAGAUGGGUUUGGCUAGUUGGUGGGGUAACGGCUCACCAAGGCGACUAUCCCUAGCUGUUCUGAUAGGCUGACCAGCCACACUGGAACUGAGACACGGUCCAGACUCCUACGGGAGUCAGCAGUGGGAAAUAUUGCACAAUGGGCGCAAGCCUGAUUGAGCCAUGCCGCGUGUAUGAAGAAGGCCUUCGGGUUGUAAAGUACUUUCAGCGGGGAGGCGUUACCCGCAGAAGAAGCACCGGCUAACUCCGUGCCAGCAGCCGCGGUAAUUC